GCAGGCGGUUUCGCGUAGCGAAAGCGAAUGCUUUGGGGUGGGGUGACUGCGUACCUUUUGUAUAAUGGGUCAGCGACUUAUAUUCUGUAGCAAGGUUAACCGAAUAGGGGAGCCGGAGGGAAACCGAGUCUUAAUUGGGCGUUAAGUUGCAGGGUAUAGACCCGAAACCCGGUGAUCUAGCCAUGGGCAGGUUGAAGGUUGGGUAACACUAACUGGAGGACCGAACCGACUAAUGUUGAAAAAUUAGCGGAUGACCUGUGGCUGGGGGUGAAAGGCCAAUCAAACCGGGAGAUAGCUGGUUCUCCCCGAAAGCUAUUUAGGUAGCGCCUCGUGAAUUCAUCUCCGGGGGUAGAGCACUGUUUCGGCUAGGGGGCCAUCCCGGCUUACCAACCCGAUGCAAACUGCGAAUACCGGAGAAUGUUAUCACGGGAGACACACGGCGGGUGCUAACGUCCGUCGUGAAGAGGGAAACAACCCAGACCGCCAGCUAAGGUCCCAAAGUCAUGGUUAAGUGGGAAACGAUGUGGGAAGGCCCAGACAGCCAGGAUGUUGGCUUAGAAGCAGCCAUCAUUUAAAGAAAGCGUAAUAGCUCACUGGUCGAGUCGGCCUGCGCGGAAGAUGUAACGGGGCUAAACCAUGCACCGAAGCUGCGGCAGCGACACUGUGUGUUGUUGGGUA
Molecule: ribosomal RNA, 678 nt
Filed under: Salmonella enterica subsp. enterica serovar Enteritidis
Lineage: Bacteria; Pseudomonadati; Pseudomonadota; Gammaproteobacteria; Enterobacterales; Enterobacteriaceae
Description: partial 23S ribosomal RNA
Rfam family: Bacterial large subunit ribosomal RNA
Source: RNAcentral